CCUACGGGUGGCAGCAGUGGGGAAUAUUGGGCAAUGGGCGCAAGCCUGACCCAGCAACGCAGCGUGAAGGAAGAAGGCUUUCGGGUUGUAAACUUCUUUUCUCAGGGACGAAGAAAGUCACGGUACCUUAGGAAAAAGCAUCGGGUAACUCCGUGACAGCAGCCGCGGUAAUACGUAGGAUGAGAGCGUUAUCCGGAUUUAUUGGGUUUAUAGGAUGCGCAGGCGGAGGUGCAAGUCAGCGGUCAAAUUGCGGGACUCAACCCCGUACUGCCGUUGAAACUGCCUCCCUUGAGUGCGCGAGAAGUAUGCGGAAUGCGUGGUGUAGCGGUGAAAUGCAUAGAUAUCACGCAGAACUCCGAUUGCGAAGGCAGCAUACCGGCGCGCAACUGACGCUCAUGCACGAAAGCGUGGGUAUCGAACAGGAUUAGAUACCCCUGUAGUC
This 442-nucleotide ribosomal RNA is filed under the name uncultured bacterium. Its description in RNAcentral is "partial 16S ribosomal RNA". It matches the Rfam family "Bacterial small subunit ribosomal RNA", at positions 338 to 795 of the family's 1533-position model. The record is from RNAcentral.